CCUACGGGUGGCUGCAGUGGGGAAUAUUGCACAAUGGGGGAAACCCUGAUGCAGCAACGCCGCGUGAAGGAAGACGGUUUUCGGAUUGUAAACUUCUUUUCUUAGUGAAGUAUAAUGACGGUAGCUAAGGAGCAAGCCACGGCUAACUACAUGCCAGCAGCCGCGGUAAUACGUAGGUGCCAAGCGGUUUCCGGAAUUACUGGGGGUAAAGGGAGCGCAGGCGGGAAGCCAAGUCAGCUGUGAAAACUACGGUCUUAACUUGUAGACUGCAGUUGAAACUGGUGUUCUUGAGUGAAGUAGAGGUAGGCGGAAUUCGGGGUGUAGCGGUGAAAUGCGUAGAUAUUAGGAGGAACACCGGUGGCGAAGGCGGCUAACUGGGCUUUAACUGACGCUGAGGCUCGAAAGUGUGGGGAGCAAACAGGAUUAGAUACCCUAGUAGUC
RNAcentral lists this ribosomal RNA (441 nucleotides) under uncultured bacterium. RNAcentral's name for it is "partial 16S ribosomal RNA". It matches the Rfam family "Bacterial small subunit ribosomal RNA", at positions 338 to 795 of the family's 1533-position model. The record is from RNAcentral.